UCGUCUUGGAGACGUAAAACUCAUCUGGACCUCUAAUCAAUUCUAUUAGAUAAAAUCCACAAAACACUCCAGAGAAAAAUGCUGACUGCAUAGCCACAUUUGAGUCGUCCACAGACCUACCAAGAAUUUUUUACCACUGGCGGGACAUCUCAGGGUUGGAGGGAAAGCAGAAUAGCUGGGCAAUGCUCUGACAGUCAUGGACGCAGCAAGUGAAAACCAUGCUAAUAGCUAAUGUUAGCUAUUCUAUAAAAUACAUUUUCUAUAAAAUCAGAAAAUAAGCCUAUUGGCUGGAGUUGAAAAAUGCUAACAUUUUAAAAACUAUAAAACACCACUAAGUUAAGGAAAUAAUGUAUCAUUGAAAAACUAUGGUUACAAGAUAGAUGGCUCAUAGGAGUUUUACUAACUCAAAAGUGUUGUAAGGGCAGAAAGGAAUAUGAAUGGUCCAGUGAAAUAACCAAUGAAAGGUGGUGGGACACAAGGCUUUCAACUCCGUUGGAAGAAAAGGAGGGAAAGAUUGUGUGCUUUCCUGUUUCAAGGGAGAAAGAGGCUUAUUGCAAUGUCCAGGUUAGCCGCUGGAGGCCACAAAGCUGGAUGACCUGUACCAAGCACAGCAGCAAGACCUCCAGAUGAGAAUCCCCUGCUGUCCUGUCCAAAAGAGCCCCCACAGCCUGCUGCAACGAGCUGGAGGCAAGGCAGUGCCACCCUGUCCAGAGGGCCCACCAGAGGCUACCGACCCCCUGUACAAUGGUUAUCGCUUCCUCCUGGAGCUUGAAUAUGGGUGCUGUCCACCAAGAGGUGGAACAUGCCCCACAUGGCUACAGCUGUGAUUCAUCACAAUGACUAUGGCUGUGAUGAUCCAUUACCUAAUUAUGAAAGAGGCCUGGUUUCCAGACAUGGAGAGACCUUUUCUUCUGAAACUGCUUGAAGCCUUGGUUGUUUGUAGUGUUGGUGUUUUAGUUCUUGGUUUCUCCCUCAUUAUUUGAGUGUUUUUUGAUAGUUUGGUUCCAGGCCAAAUAAAGGCCAAUUAUCCUCCUUACUUUAUUGUAUCUGUCUGUUCACCAUGUGGUGCAGUGGUCAACCCCAACCCCAGUGCACCACAGUACACUGAAACAGUGUACCAACAUUGUAUUUUCAGUACCAGUAAGUUCAUGUUAUAUGUACUUUUGCUGUCAUUUAUAACAGUUUUUAUUAUGUGAUAUUUCAAAUGUUACCAGUAACAUAGUUCUAUGAAAUAAAUUAUAUUAGCAUA
This is a long non-coding RNA of Conger conger (European conger), 1249 nucleotides long. RefSeq lists it as uncharacterized. NCBI's taxonomy places the organism in Eukaryota, Metazoa, Chordata, Actinopteri, Anguilliformes, Congridae. The transcript has 2 exons. The record is from RefSeq and is a predicted model, not a curated record.